This 70-nucleotide transfer RNA is filed under the name Dipodomys ordii (Ord's kangaroo rat). It matches the Rfam family "tRNA". Rfam says of the family: Transfer RNA (tRNA) molecules are approximately 80 nucleotides in length. The record is from Rfam by way of RNAcentral. Lineage: Eukaryota; Metazoa; Chordata; Mammalia; Rodentia; Heteromyidae.
GGUAAUGCGGCUCAGUGGUAGAGUGCUUGCCUCACAUGCAUGAAGCCCUGGGUUCGAUUCCUCAGUACCA